AAAUUGACGUUUAAGCUGGUUGAACAGGGGCAGGACCACUCAUUGCAGCAAGUUCAGUGGAGGUCAACCCGCAUUCACUACGUUUCCGGGGCAGGAUAUUUGCAUUCAAAAUCAGAAUAGAAUUAAAUUUAAAGGAAGAGUCCACAUAUUAUCCUAAGCUUUGCAUUUGGCGAUUUGGAUUGCUCCUUAAACAAGCCUCCUUUCUAGCUUGGCCUCUCAGCAGAGAGCAGAAGAGGGCACGGGCCAUUCACCUGUUAGUAACACAGAACGUGAUCCACAAGUGACUCCUAGCUACAAAGUCAAAGGCAAAAGC
RNAcentral lists this long non-coding RNA (313 nucleotides) under Fukomys damarensis (Damara mole-rat). Its description in RNAcentral is "lncRNA (ENSFDAG00000027985.1)". The record is from RNAcentral. Lineage: Eukaryota; Metazoa; Chordata; Mammalia; Rodentia; Bathyergidae.